RNAcentral lists this ribosomal RNA (1074 nucleotides) under Grimmia plagiopodia. Its description in RNAcentral is "eukaryotic LSU rRNA". It matches the Rfam family "Eukaryotic large subunit ribosomal RNA", at positions 65 to 1117 of the family's 3401-position model. Lineage: Eukaryota; Viridiplantae; Streptophyta; Bryopsida; Grimmiales; Grimmiaceae. The record is from RNAcentral.
CUAACCAGGAUUUCCCUAGUAACGGCGAGCGAACCGGAAAGAGCCCAGCUUGAGAAUCGGAGUGCCCCGCACCCCGAGUUGUAGUCUGGAGAUUCGUCCUCUGCAGCGGRCCGRACCCAAGUUCCCUGGAAAGGGACGUCGGAGAGGGUGACAGCCCCGUCGAGUCCGGACCCUGCUGCUCCACGAGGCGAAGUCUGCGAGUCGAGCUGUUUGGGAAUGCAGCUCUAAGUGGGUGGUAAAUUCCAUCCAAGGCUAAAUAUUGGCAGGAGACCGAUAGCGAACAAGUACCGCGAGGGAAAGAUGAAAAGGACUUUGAAAAGAGAGUUAAAAAGUGCUUGAAAUUGCUGGGAGGGAAGCGAAUGGAAGCUGCGGGUGCGCCCCGGUUGGAUGUGGAACGGCUGCUGCUGGUCCGCCGCUCAACGCGGGGCGCUGGUCAGCGUGGGCCAUCGCGGCGGGACAAGAGCGGGAUGUAGCUUCCCGCCGAUGCCGUUGCGGUGGCCGAGGAACGAAGCGCGCGGGGCCCCCUCGGGGGCCCCGUGGGAUCCGUCCCAACUGCGCGCUCGGGACGCUGGCGUAUUGAGCUCUUCAUCCGACCCGUCUUGAAACACGGACCAAGGAGUCUAACAUGUAUGCGAGCCGGUGGGCGGCAAACCCAUUGAGGCGCAAGUAAACUGACAGGUGGGACCCCGGGCCCGGAGACGGGCGAGGGAGCACCAUCGACCGACCGUGAUCUUCUGUGAAAGGUUUGAGUGUGAGCAUACCUGUUGGGACCCGAAAGAUGGUGAACUAUGCCUGAGCAGGGCGAAGCCAGAGGAAACUCUGGUGGAGGCUCGUAGCGAUACUGACGUGCAAAUCGUUCGUCAGACUUGGGUAUAGGGGCGAAAGACUAAUCGAACCAUCUAGUAGCUGGUUCCCUCCGAAGUUUCCCUCAGGAUAGCUGGAGCUCGUGUAAGAGUUUUAUCAGGUAAAGCGAAUGAUUAGAGGCAUCGGGGGUGUAACACCCUCGACCUAUUCUCAAACUUUAAAUAGGUAAGCCGCCGGGGUUGCUUGGCUGAACCCCGGCACAGAAUGAGA